CAGUAGCUACAAACAACCUAAGAGUAAAAAAAAUAAAUAGAAAAUGAAGAACAAAACAGCUAUUAAUACUAUAUGAUUUUACACUGGAUAUGCAUAUGCUUUUAAAAAUAAAGAAAUUCCAAAAAAAAAAAAAUCAUCAUAGAAUCUUGAAUUUUCGAUCCCGCUUAACAAAAUCUUUAAAAAUAUGAUUGUUUCCAAUCAUACAUAAGUUCUAGUCAUAUUCAUAACAUAAUAUUUUAGUUUCGCUUAUGAGGCAAAAGUUCGCGACAUUUCAAGAUGUUAUUGAAGCAAAACUUGCGACCAAUUGAGUAAACAUACUAUAUUGAAAUGUCUCUGUACUCUUGUCUUAUACAAAACUAAUUUAUGUCCGAUGGACAAUAAAGAUCAUUUUUUCCUAAAAAAAAUAUUAAGCGGGGCCAAAAAAUCAGUACGAAUGCUUGAUAGUUGAUACUAUCAAGCACCUUUGAUGUGUUGAACUUGUUGAAAAUGCUUUUGAGCUGCUAUAUUACUAGUAUUUGUUGUAUCCUCAUUGAUUUCUCUCUCAAGUAAUUGUGUAUCAUUCUCAUGAUUUUCAUUAAUAAAGUUCUCACGACAAAGAAAUUUGCAAAGGGUGUUGAUAAAACAUCCCAAAAUUGGAAUUUUUGAAAGAAAAUAUGUAAUUUGUUGUAGAUUCAUGGCAAAUUUAAUCAAAAAAAGAAAAUUUGUAAAAUGGUUUUUGAGUGAAGAAGGCAAG
This 733-nucleotide long non-coding RNA is filed under the name Capsicum annuum. Its description in RNAcentral is "long non-coding RNA (CANN_LNC020020)". The record is from RNAcentral. Lineage: Eukaryota; Viridiplantae; Streptophyta; Magnoliopsida; Solanales; Solanaceae.